UCACUAUAAAUGUCAUCUCUGCAAUUGCUUCUUCAACCUUAAUUAUCACUGACAUUCAGGUUAUGCAUUAUGCACUAAUCACUACUUUGAGCUCGACAGAUCCCAGAUCCAAUCACCUUGCGAAGUAAUUCCCACUGAGCUGAAUCAAAUUGGUGACAACAACUGCUGAAGAACCACUCGGAUCUGUACUUCAUCAAAGCAUCUUCAACAAGACGCAUCAAAUCAAGAACAUAACUCUCCUUUCACAUCAUCUACACACCGUUGUCUCCAUUGCUAUUUUUCAGAAGAUUUCCCUAUCUUCUUGAAUUCACCUGAAGCCCUCCUUCUGUAAGGUACGGUUGUGAAUGACUUUGUGAAGCUUUCCUACUUUUCUUCUUCGACUUGCAGUUCUCAGCUUUGCUCUUCUUUUCUUUAGCCUUACACUUCUCUUUUUUUUUGUGCAUGCUCUUCUUCAUUUGCCUUGAGUCCACUGAAGGUUGCUCCCUCUUGUCUUGAGCUCUGGUCCGCUCAAGGUUUCCACAACUUCCAUGGACUCCACUUCCAUCUUCUUCUUAUGGCUUACUCCUUCUUUUCUCUUCUUUUUCAGUCUUUCUCAGACUGUUCUCACUUCGUGGACUCUUCUUUCUCCAAGACAUCUUCUCCUAGUGGCCUUGCCUUUUUUCUUUUUUUAUUUUGCAGGCUCCAAGGAUACUCAAGCUCUGAUACCAUGUUAUACUUCUGACCUCAUUUUCACUUUGGAGGUGCAGCGCGUGUAUUUCAGAAGAAGAAAGGCUGAUGACAAGGCAUAUAAGGAUGAGUCACGUACGUGUGGAGAGGAGAACCAGAAGAUGACAAAGGACUCAACACGUGAGACGGGUUAAGGGUUUGUUAGCAUCACAUGGUGUCUUUACAUAAAGAGGAGAAGCAUCACAAAGGGGCAUGAUGAAUGUUGUGAGGGAUUAGUCGCUGUGAGACUAACGUAUGGGGAAGGAAGAUGCGAAGGUAUGCUGAGGAUCUGACUUCAUCUUUCACUUGUUCAAUCUAUCACUUUGUAAUCUGAGAGUUGAGAGUUCCUUUUAUUAAGAGAUAUUGAGCUUUGUGAUCAAACAUUGGUUCAUUAAUGGAGGUUUGAUAUGGAGUUCAAAAGGUUAA
This is a non-coding RNA of Camelina sativa (false flax), 1131 nucleotides long. NCBI's taxonomy places the organism in Eukaryota, Viridiplantae, Streptophyta, Magnoliopsida, Brassicales, Brassicaceae. The record is from RefSeq and is a predicted model, not a curated record.